Molecule: unclassified non-coding RNA, 431 nt
Filed under: uncultured Glomus
Lineage: Eukaryota; Fungi; Glomeromycota; Glomeromycetes; Glomerales; Glomeraceae
Description: SSU rRNA
Rfam family: Eukaryotic small subunit ribosomal RNA
Source: RNAcentral
AGCAGCCGCGGUAAUUCCAGCUCCAAUAGCGUAUAUUAAAGUUGUUGCAGUUAAAAGCUCGUAGUUGAAUUUCGGGAUCAGUCCGCUGGUCGUGCCUCUGGUAUGUACUGGUGUUACUGGUUCCUCCCUUCCGACGAACUGUCAUGUCAUUAAUUUGGUGUGGCGGGGAAUCAGGACUGUUACUUUGAAAAAUUAGAGUGUUUAAAGCAGGCUCGCGCUUGAAUACAUUAGCAUGGAAUAAUGAAAUAGGACGUUCGAUCCUAUUUUGUUGGUUUUCUAGGAUUGACGUAAUGAUUAAUAGGGAUAGUUGGGGGGCAUUAGUAUUCAAUUGUCAGAGGUGAAAUUCUUGGAUUUAUUGAAGACUAACUACUGCGAAAGCAUUUGCCAAGGAUGUUUUCAUUAAUCAAGAACGAAAGUUAGGGGAUACGAAG